This 468-nucleotide ribosomal RNA is filed under the name uncultured bacterium. RNAcentral describes it as "partial 16S ribosomal RNA". It matches the Rfam family "Bacterial small subunit ribosomal RNA", at positions 28 to 507 of the family's 1533-position model. The record is from RNAcentral.
GACGAACGCUGGCGGCGUGCUUAACACAUGCAAGUCGAACGGAAAGGCCCUGCUUUUGUGGGGUGCUCGAGUGGCGAACGGGUGAGUAACACGUGAGUAACCUGCCCUUGACUUUGGGAUAACUUCAGGAAACUGGGGCUAAUACCGGAUAUGAGCUCCUGCUGCAUGUUGGGGGUUGGAGAGUUUCGGCGGUUGGGGAUGGACUCGCGGCUUAUCAGCUUGUUGGUGGGGUAGUGGCUUACCAAGGCUUUGACGGGUAGCCGGCCUGAGAGGGUGACCGGCCACAUUGGGACUGAGAUACGGCCCAGACUCCUACGGGAGGCAGCAGUGGGGAAUAUUGCACAAUGGGCGGAAGCCUGAUGCAGCAACGCCGCGUGCGGGAUGACGGCCUUCGGGUUGUAAACCGCUUUCGCCUGUGACGAAGCGUGAGUGACGGUAAUGGGUAAAGAAGCACCGGCUAACUACGUG